Molecule: non-coding RNA, 675 nt
Organism: Carica papaya (papaya)
Lineage: Eukaryota; Viridiplantae; Streptophyta; Magnoliopsida; Brassicales; Caricaceae
Source: RefSeq, a predicted model, not a curated record
CUCAAUAUUCCACAUCUUGUAAUCUUGUUUGUAGUCUUCUCCUUCUUCAUCAUCUCCCUCUCCCUCUCUUCAGAUUAGCAAUACUGUUAGCCAUAAACCAAUCAACGUCUGCCACGUGGUGGCCAUCCCAUCUGCCACGUUAACCCCAUGAUCGAUCUCUGCGAACAACUUGUUUCACGGAAGCCCGAUGACAGUCUUGUCACCGAGGACUGGUUCGGUUUCAUCGGCGCCGAUCCAAAACCCGACAACAUCAGCUUUUGCACCCUCCUUAAUGUCAUACCUUCCGAGCUGGUUCCAGAUUAGGAUCUUCCCGGCUUCGUUGAAGCCGUCGAAGCUCCCUUCGAACAGCUUCUUGACCGGCUCCAGCAGCCGGUUUCAGCCACUAUAGCCGACAUUUCCAUGCCUUUGGCUGUCCAUGUCGAAGAUCAGACGAAUAUUCCGGUGGGUCUCGCUUCGAACCCAGUCGGCAACAGUGUUCUCGAUGUUUCUUCACUUUGAUCUCCUUGUAGAGAAUCGGCAUUUCCCAAUUCGAUUGUCGGAUGUACUCGUGUUCCCUUUUCCUUUAUUACCAGAUCAAGUGCUGAACAGCAAGCGAGUUGUGGAAGAUUUGGUGAUUCGAUGGAGGGCUACAAAUGGUUUUGUAGGGGGGUGGAGGUUUUAUUACAAGAAAAGAAA